GUAGGUAUAAAACUCAGUGGCAGAGUGUAUGCCUAGUAUCCAUGAGGCCCUGGGAUCAAUCCCCAGUACCAAAA
RNAcentral lists this transfer RNA (74 nucleotides) under Marmota monax (woodchuck). RNAcentral describes it as "tRNA.Thr". It matches the Rfam family "tRNA". From Rfam's summary of the family: Transfer RNA (tRNA) molecules are approximately 80 nucleotides in length. Their secondary structure includes four short double-helical elements and three loops (D, anti-codon, and T loops). Further hydrogen bonds mediate the characteristic L-shaped molecular structure. tRNAs have two regions of fundamental functional importance: the anti-codon, which is responsible for specific mRNA codon recognition, and the 3' end, to which the tRNAs corresponding amino acid is attached (by aminoacyl-tRNA synthetases). tRNAs cope with the degeneracy of the genetic code in two manners: having more than one tRNA (with a specific anti-codon) for a particular amino acid; and 'wobble' base-pairing, i.e. permitting non-standard base-pairing at the 3rd anti-codon position. Lineage: Eukaryota; Metazoa; Chordata; Mammalia; Rodentia; Sciuridae. The record is from RNAcentral.